AAGAAGAAUCACACUUGUUUGGUACUGAGCCACAUGAUAUGUCGCAACUCCCCCUGUGAGCAGGGACCAGGCAGGAGAAGAAAGUCACAUCAUCAUUCCCAAAGCAAAGCCUGGGGUUCUAUUUAAAAUCAUGCAACCAGGAAAAGCAGACAUGAGAAACUUACUACACUCACUCUGGAGAAGAUAAAGUGGAGUUCCAGAGGAUUAUUUUCUCACGUAACAUGUUUACAGACUUCGGAGGUUGAGGCGGGUGGAUCACCUGAGGUCAAGAAUUCAAGAGCAGCCUGGCCAACAUGAGGAAACCCUG
RNAcentral lists this long non-coding RNA (307 nucleotides) under Homo sapiens (human). Its description in RNAcentral is "HSALNT0396849". The record is from RNAcentral. Lineage: Eukaryota; Metazoa; Chordata; Mammalia; Primates; Hominidae.